CGAGCGGUAUUUGUUCUUCGGGACAGAGAGAGCGGCGUACGGGUGCGGAACACGUGUGCAACCUACCUUUAUCAGGGGGAUAGCCUUUCGAAAGGAAGAUUAAUACCCCAUAAUAUAUUGAAGGCAUCAUGAUAAUAUUGAAAACUCCGGUGGAUAGAGAUGGGCACGCGCAAGAUUAGAUAGUUGGUAGGGUAACGGCCUACCAAGUCAGUGAUCUUUAGGGGGCCUGAGAGGGUGAUCCCCCACACUGGUACUGAGACACGGACCAGACUCCUACGGGAGGCAGCAGUGAGGAAUAUUGGACAAUGGGUGAGAGCCUGAUCCAGCCAUCCCGCGUGAAGGACGACGGCCCUAUGGGUUGUAAACUUCUUUUGUAUAGGGAUAAACCUACUCUCGUGAGAGUAGCUGAAGGUACUAUACGAAUAAGCACCGGCUAACUCCGUGCCAGCAGCCGCGGUAAUACGGAGGGUGCAAGCGUUAUCCGGAUUUAUUGGGUUUAAAGGGUCCGUAGGCGGCGAUGUAAGUCAGUGGUGAAAUCUCAUAGCUUAACUAUGAAACUGCCAUUGAUACUGCAGGUCUUGAGUAAAGUAGAAGUGGCUGGAAUAAGUAGUGUAGCGGUGAAAUGCAUAGAUAUUACUUAGAACACCAAUUGCGAAGGCAGGUCACUAUGUUUUAACUGACGCUGAUGGACGAAAGCGUGGGGAGCGAACAGGAUUAGAUACCCUGGUAGUCCACGCCGUAAACGAUGCUAACUCGUUUUUGGGCUUUCGGGUUCAGAGACUAAGCGAAAGUGAUAAGUUAGCCACCUGGGGAGUACGUUCGCAAGAAUGAAACUCAAAGGAAUUGACGGGGGCCCGCACAAGCGGUGGAUUAUGUGGUUUAAUUCGAUGAUACGCGAGGAACCUUACCAAGGCUUAAAUGGGAAUUGACAGGUUUAGAAAUAGACUUUUCUUCGGACAAUUUUCAAGGUGCUGCAUGGUUGUCGUCAGCUCGUGCCGUGAGGUGUUAGGUUAAGUCCUGCAACGAGCGCAACCCCUGUCACUAGUUGCCAUCAUUCAGUUGGGGACUCUAGUGAGACUGCCUACGCAAGUAGAGAGGAAGGUGGGGAUGACGUCAAAUCAUCACGGCCCUUACGCCUUGGGCCACACACGUAAUACAAUGGCCCGUACAGAGGGCAGCUACCAGGCGAACGGAUGCGAAUCUCGAAAGCCGGUCUCAGUUCGGAUUGGAGUCUGCAACUCGACUCUAUGAAGCUGGAAUCGCUAGUAAUCGCAUAUCAGCCAUGAUGCGGUGAAUACGUUCCCGGGCCUUGUACACACCGCCCGUCAAGCCAUGGAAGUUUGGGGUACCUGAAGUCGGUGACCGUAACAGGAGCUGCCUAGGGUAAAAC
This 1390-nucleotide ribosomal RNA is filed under the name Chryseobacterium sp. GLY-1106. Its description in RNAcentral is "bacterial SSU rRNA". It matches the Rfam family "Bacterial small subunit ribosomal RNA". Lineage: Bacteria; Pseudomonadati; Bacteroidota; Flavobacteriia; Flavobacteriales; Weeksellaceae. The record is from RNAcentral.